Molecule: ribosomal RNA, 578 nt
Filed under: Microbacterium sp. LDB-B104
Lineage: Bacteria; Bacillati; Actinomycetota; Actinomycetes; Micrococcales; Microbacteriaceae
Description: bacterial SSU rRNA
Rfam family: Bacterial small subunit ribosomal RNA
Source: RNAcentral
ACGGGUGAGUAACACGUGAGCAACCUGCCCUGGACUCUGGGAUAAGCGCUGGAAACGGCGUCUAAUACUGGAUAUGAGCCCCUAUCGCAUGGUGGGGGUUGGAAAGAUUUUUUGGUCUGGGAUGGGCUCGCGGCCUAUCAGCUUGUUGGUGAGGUAAUGGCUCACCAAGGCGUCGACGGGUAGCCGGCCUGAGAGGGUGACCGGCCACACUGGGACUGAGACACGGCCCAGACUCCUACGGGAGGCAGCAGUGGGGAAUAUUGCACAAUGGGCGAAAGCCUGAUGCAGCAACGCCGCGUGAGGGAUGACGGCCUUCGGGUUGUAAACCUCUUUUAGCAGGGAAGAAGCGAACAUGACGGUACCUGCAGAAAAAGCGCCGGCUAACUACGUGCCAGCAGCCGCGGUAAUACGUAGGGCGCAAGCGUUAUCCGGAAUUAUUGGGCGUAAAGAGCUCGUAGGCGGUUUGUCGCGUCUGCUGUGAAAUCCCGAGGCUCAACCUCGGGCCUGCAGUGGGUACGGGCAGACUAGAGUGCGGUAGGGGAGAUUGGAAUUCCUGGUGUAGCGGUGGAAUGCGCAGA